GUAACGGCGAGUGAAGCGGCAACAGCUCAAAUUUGAAAUCUGGCCUCUUCGGGGUCCGAGUUGUAAUUUGUAGAGGGUGUUUCGGGCGCGAUGCCGGUCUAAGUUCUUUGGAACAGGACGUCGUAGAGGGUGAGAAUCCCGUAUGCGACCGGCGAUCAAGCCUGUGUGAAGCCCCUUCGACGAGUCGAGUUGUUUGGGAAUGCAGCUCAAAAUGGGUGGUAAAUUUCAUCUAAAGCUAAAUAUUGGCCAGAGACCGAUAGCGGACAAGUAGAGUGAUCGAAAGAUGAAAAGCACUUUGGAAAGAGAGUCAAACAGUACGUGAAAUUGUUGAAAGGGAAGCGCUUGCAAUCAGACCGGUCCGGAGGCGAUCAGCCGCUGCUCGUCAGCGGUGCACUCGCCUGCGAUCCGGCCAGCAUCGGUUUGGGCGGUGGGAUAAAAGUCCCGGGAAUGUAGCUUCUUUCGGGGAGUCUUAUAGCCCGGGUCGCAAUGCCGCCCGCUCGGACCGAGGACCGCGCUUC
Molecule: ribosomal RNA, 518 nt
Filed under: Sticta filix
Lineage: Eukaryota; Fungi; Ascomycota; Lecanoromycetes; Peltigerales; Lobariaceae
Description: partial large subunit ribosomal RNA
Rfam family: Eukaryotic large subunit ribosomal RNA
Source: RNAcentral